GGAAUGCCCUACUAUUGGACCGGAUAAUUGCUACAAAGCCGCAUGAAAAUUUAGCUACUUUCCAUGAUUUGAUUACAACUGCUACAAUCAAACAAAGUAGAGUACAAAUCUUGAGUAGUUAAUUACGAACUUCAGAAGAGACAAGAGGAGCUACACUUCUAUGGCACCAACCCAUCUCAUCAGAUGGAGUUGACAUAUCCUCAUUAAGCUAAACACAAUGGGCAACUUGGCAUUAGGAAAAUCGAAUGCCAAUUCUCCUUUUCUCCCGGCCUUGAGUGGACUAUCAACAACUUGCAGACGUGAAAUCGGCUGGCGUAGCUGGCUGGCUGGCUACUGUGUUCACAUGAUCUAUGACAAGGUGUUGGCAAGACUCAAAGGAAAGCCCCAUGGAGGAUUGACACUUUCAUUUUCUAUAUUUUGUGUGGGUUCCAUUCUGUAACAUGUUGUGACGCAAUGCUCACGGUAGCGUCUCUGACAUUAGCUUACUUGAGGAUCACUAGUAGAAAAAGAGGAUUCAGUCCUGGUUGAUAAGACCUUUUAGUCUCGGUUGCAAAAA
Molecule: long non-coding RNA, 556 nt
Organism: Lolium perenne
Lineage: Eukaryota; Viridiplantae; Streptophyta; Magnoliopsida; Poales; Poaceae
Source: RefSeq, a predicted model, not a curated record